RNAcentral lists this ribosomal RNA (209 nucleotides) under Staphylococcus arlettae CVD059. RNAcentral's name for it is "partial 16S ribosomal RNA". It matches the Rfam family "Bacterial small subunit ribosomal RNA", at positions 1334 to 1533 of the family's 1533-position model. Lineage: Bacteria; Bacillati; Bacillota; Bacilli; Caryophanales; Staphylococcaceae. The record is from RNAcentral.
GCUAGUAAUCGUAGAUCAGCAUGCUACGGUGAAUACGUUCCCGGGUCUUGUACACACCGCCCGUCACACCACGAGAGUUUGUAACACCCGAAGCCGGUGGAGUAACCAUUUAUGGAGCUAGCCGUCGAAGGUGGGACAAAUGAUUGGGGUGAAGUCGUAACAAGGUAGCCGUAUCGGAAGGUGCGGCUGGAUCACCUCCUUUCUAAGGA